Non-coding RNA from Paramuricea clavata, 746 nucleotides. Lineage: Eukaryota; Metazoa; Cnidaria; Anthozoa; Malacalcyonacea; Plexauridae. The record is from the annotation of a GenBank genome assembly.
UUUAUUCUCUUUUACCCAAUGGCCUCGUUUUCGUGUCAAAUACUUACUCAUGUUUUGUGCUUAGUAGGAUUGAAAGUUACUUUGUUAUUGAGCCAACGAACAGCAAGAAACAAUUAGAAAACAUGGAAAUAUAAUCUUUAUCUGCCCUUGACAUGCUAAGUAUAGGUAAUCAUGCGAUGGCGAGUACAAUUCGGGAUUAAUAGUACGAGUGAUGUUUGGAAAUUUUGCCAAAAUUGAACGAGCCGCCGGGGCGGGUCCAAUUUGGCAAAUUUCCAAACAUCACGAGUACUAUUAAUCCCUAAUUGUACGAGCAACAUCGCAUGAUUACUUGUUUAUUAUUAGCAUGACAAAAUUGGAUACGUACUUCUCAAUGUCAACAUCGUAUUCUCUCGCCAAAGCCCAUCAGUCCUGCCAGACUUUCAACCAAAAUUUGGUGCUUCUGUUUGUAUUUUCAUUUAAUUCUUUUGUUUCAGCAAAAUUUGGUGCUUUUGUUCGCACUUUAAUCUAGUUCCUCCACGGCAAUUUCAUUUCACACUUGUGAUUAAAAUACGUUUCCGCCAUUUUGUUUGUUUUGGGAAAAUCAUUAAUUAUACUGCAGUACAAUUAAUGAAAUAUUUGUACUCCUCUCAACCAAUCAGCAUCCAGUAAUUUUGUCAUGCUAAUAAUAAAGUAAGUUAACAUGGAAACGAGGCCAUUGAGUAAAAGAGAAGAAUCGGUAAGGUCUAUUUGGAAAAAAAACAUGCACG